Molecule: ribosomal RNA, 169 nt
Filed under: uncultured bacterium
Lineage: Bacteria
Description: partial 16S ribosomal RNA
Rfam family: Bacterial small subunit ribosomal RNA
Source: RNAcentral
GCUAGUAAUCGCGGAUCAGCAACGCCGCGGUGAAUGCGUUCCCGGGCCUUGCACACACCGCCCGUCAAGUCAUGAAAGUGGGCAGCACCCGAAGACGGUGGCCUAACCCUUGUGGGGGGAGCCGUCUAAGGUGAGGCUCGUGAUUGGGACUAAGUCGUAACAAGGUACC